Molecule: long non-coding RNA, 520 nt
Organism: Macrobrachium nipponense
Lineage: Eukaryota; Metazoa; Arthropoda; Malacostraca; Decapoda; Palaemonidae
Exons: 3
Source: RefSeq, a predicted model, not a curated record
CCUCUGAAGCGAACUUCGCAUAAGUGACAGUUGGAAGGAGGCACAGUUAGCGGACGGUAUACGUUCAGAGGAUAGUGAUCUAAAUGUGGGUGAAUAGUUGAACUCAAAACGUGACAUCUGUAUGAACAUUUCGGCUAAUUAAAGAGGACAGGUUUGCUCAUUUAAUAAUAUAUGUAAGGAGUGUGAGAGCUGGAAUGAGAAAGCAUUGAGGAAUUUUAACGUCUCGUCUGACUAAGUGAGAGAGAUAGGAAGAGGAAGGCAGCCGCUAAGAGCUGAGGAUAAAGGUUUAGCUAGUAACUUUACUCCAAAGAAGACCCAUUUUUCUAAGCCCAAGGUGACUUGGUGCUAAACACACACAAAGAAGUUUGAAAGCUAAUUUGGAAGAAACCAAAUGGAAUGGAUUUAAAAUUUGGGAUUGAAAGAUUGCUACGAAAAAUUUAGCUACAGCUACAGUGAGGCAUGCAAGAUACAUACACUGUAAGUGAUACUCCACCCUUUGUAAAUUUAGCAAAUAAUUGUA